This 559-nucleotide ribosomal RNA is filed under the name Halobiotus crispae. RNAcentral describes it as "partial 28S ribosomal RNA". It matches the Rfam family "Eukaryotic large subunit ribosomal RNA", at positions 1392 to 1868 of the family's 3401-position model. The record is from RNAcentral. Lineage: Eukaryota; Metazoa; Tardigrada; Eutardigrada; Parachela; Halobiotidae.
CGGCGGUGGCGUCGAAGGCUUACGGGCGUGAGCCCGGCUGGAGCCGCCGUCGGUGCAGAUCUUGGUGGUAGUAGCAAAUACUCAAGCGAGAACCUUGAGGACUGAAGUGGAGAAGGGUUCCAUGUGAACAGCAGUUGAACAUGGGUCAGUCGACCCUAAGGCAUCGGCGAAAGCCGUUCAGAAGCGGUGUAGAUUGCGGCACUUGUUGCCGUAGGUCUGUGUUGUGCUCUCGGGUGUGACAUACGAUCACUGCACCUGCCGAAAGGGAAUCGGGUUAAUAUUCCCGAACUCGGCAUCGGAUAUUGCCUCGGUCGGUUCGCCGGCAGAGGACAUGCGGUAACGCAAAUGAACUCGGAGACGCUAACACGUGCCCUGGGAAGAGUUGUCUUUUCUUCAUAAGGCGCAGGCUCCCUGGAAUCGAAUCACUCGGCGAUAGGGAGAUGGCGUCCGUAGAGCACCGCGGUUCUUGCGGUGUCCGGUGCGCACGUGUUGGUCCUUGAAAAUCCGAGGGAGAGUGUGAUUUUCGUGCCGAAUCGUACCCAUAUCCGCAGCAGUCUCC